Molecule: ribosomal RNA, 254 nt
Filed under: uncultured bacterium
Lineage: Bacteria
Description: partial 16S ribosomal RNA
Rfam family: Bacterial small subunit ribosomal RNA
Source: RNAcentral
CACGUAGGGUGCGAGCGUUGUCCGGAAUUAUUGGGCGUAAAGAGCUCGUAGGCGGUGUGUCGCGUCGGCCGUGAAAACUUGCAGCUUAACUGUGGGCGUGCGGUCGAUACGGGCAUCACUGGAGUUCGGCAGGGGAGACUGGAAUUCCUGGUGUAGCGGUGAAAUGCGUAGAUAUCUGGAGGAACACCGGUGGCGAAGGCGGCAUCCUGGACCGGCAUUGACGCUGAGGCGCGAAAGCCAGGGGAGCAAACGGG